GAAUAAAAAGCAAAAAUUGCAGUUGGUUUCGGCCCAUCUUUUGACCUUUAGGUCUUUAUUCU
Molecule: transfer RNA, 62 nt
Filed under: Calantica studeri
Lineage: Eukaryota; Metazoa; Arthropoda; Thecostraca; Calanticomorpha; Calanticidae
Description: tRNA-Arg
Source: RNAcentral